This 282-nucleotide long non-coding RNA is filed under the name Lathyrus oleraceus (garden pea). RNAcentral describes it as "Pisum sativum (pea) long non-coding RNA (PSAT_LNC008404)". Lineage: Eukaryota; Viridiplantae; Streptophyta; Magnoliopsida; Fabales; Fabaceae. The record is from RNAcentral.
UGAGGUGUUACAGCUGUCCCUAUUCAAUCCACUGUGAACCUGUCGAUAUGAACAACCUCGACUUUCAGAUGAUCAGGGUGAAGUGUGAUUGAAUACAAAGAACAGACGAACAAUUUGCGCUCCUCUGGGAAAUAAGUAACCAUGCCUGUCAGAAUCGGCAAAGAAAUGAUCUUAAAAGAAGAAUUCGUCUGGUACGGUGAGAGUCGGCCCGAAUACCGAAAAGAAUGUUAACCUGGAUACCAAAAUAAAUGGUAACACAGGAAUAACCAUGGCCUAAAUGCC